CCUAUAUCCAGACAAACGUCAGCCGAAUCUAUGACGGUUCUAAGGUAGCUUAAUUCCUUGUCGGUUAGUUUUCGACCUGCAUCAAAGUUUGAACAAUUUACCUUAUGUCACC
RNAcentral lists this ribosomal RNA (112 nucleotides) under Climacostomum virens. RNAcentral describes it as "partial Bacterial large subunit ribosomal RNA". The record is from RNAcentral. Lineage: Eukaryota; Ciliophora; Heterotrichea; Heterotrichida; Climacostomidae.